Molecule: ribosomal RNA, 449 nt
Filed under: uncultured bacterium
Lineage: Bacteria
Description: partial 16S ribosomal RNA
Rfam family: Bacterial small subunit ribosomal RNA
Source: RNAcentral
AACGAACGCUGGCGGCAUGCCUAACACAUGCAAGUCGAACGAGAUCUUCGGGUCUAGUGGCGCACGGGUGCGUAACGCGUGGGAAUCUGCCCUUUGGUUCGGAAUAACAGUUGGAAACGACUGCUAAUACCGGAUGAUGACGAAAGUCCAAAGAUUUAUCGCCAGAGGAUGAGCCCGCGUAGGAUUAGCUAGUUGGUGUGGUAAAGGCGCACCAAGGCGACGAUCCUUAGCUGGUCUGAGAGGAUGAUCAGCCACACUGGGACUGAGACACGGCACAGACUACUACGGGAGGCAGCAGUGGGGAAUAUUGGACAGUGGGCGAAAGCCUGAUCCAGCAAUGCCGCGUGAGUGAUGAAGGCCUUAGGGUUGUAAAGCUCUUUUACCCGGGAUGAUAAUGACAGUACCGGGAGAAUAAGCUCCGGCUAACUCCGUGCCAGCCGCCGCAGUAA